CCUACGGGUGGCAGCAGUGAGGAAUAUUUGUCAAUGGGCGAGAGCCUGAACCAGCCACGUCGCGUGAGGGAGUACUGCCCUAUGGGUUGUCAACCUCUUUUGUCGGGGAGCAAAAGCAGGACGUGUCCGGCUGUGAGAGUACCCGAAGCAAAAACAUCGGCUAACUCCGUGCCAGCAGCCGCGGUAAUACGGAGGAUGCGGGCGUGAUCCGGAUUGAUUGGGUUUAAAGGUUGCGCAGGCGGAUGUUUAAGUCAGCGGUCAAAUCGUGGGGCUAAACCCCAUCCAGCCGUUGAAACUGGGGAUCUAGAGUGUGCGAGAGGUAUGUGGAAUGCGUGGUGUAGCGGGGAAAUGCAUAGAUAUCACGCAGAACCCCGAUUGCGAAGGCAGCAUACUGGUGCACAACUGACGCUCAGGCACGAAAGCGUGGGUAUCGAACAGGAUUAGAUACCCUUGUAGUC
This 458-nucleotide ribosomal RNA is filed under the name uncultured bacterium. RNAcentral's name for it is "partial 16S ribosomal RNA". It matches the Rfam family "Bacterial small subunit ribosomal RNA", at positions 338 to 795 of the family's 1533-position model. The record is from RNAcentral.